GAGUAAGUUAGGUGGGUGGACCAUUACCCAGGUGAGCAAGAAGGCAAGGAGAGAGAUGCUGCCAAGAGUCCUGUCCUUCUCUGAACAAACAUUAAAUGCAAGACAAGGAACUGAAACUCCAUGGCCACCAACCAACAACUGGCGAGCCCCUGGGAACCGCCAUUCUACCUGCUACCUCUACGAAUUUGACUGCUUUACAUCCCUCAGGUUAACUUUACUUGAUGAUCAGAGGUGGGAUCCAGAGAAAACCCGAGGCUGGUGAGCAAACAGAAAAUCCCCAAAGAGGAAAAUGCCAUCCCUGUGAUUUGGAGAAAAGGAACUUGGUCAGAUACUAAGAACAGGACCUGGUCUAGUAGCAGAGGGGAGGCCAUGUGGGACCCUGUGUUGCAGCACACGAUUAGCUCUUCAUAUUUUGCAAGAGGAACUGACCGGGCUAUGCUCCUGUUCCCCAGCCUGGCACUCACCCUGGGUCAUGUGUCAGUCCUGUGGAAGCCAGCAUCGUACGGCACCUUCCCGAUGAAAUCCAAGGCGCGCUGGCAGCUGCUAGGCAGGAAAGCCACCGGAGACCGCGCCUCCCAGAAGGUGGUGGUUUCAAAGUGAGUGCUGUGUUUCCAUGGACUCCUCAAGGAAAAUUUCCAGGUCCCAUUUGUGCAGCAGUAUUAACUGAAAGCAGACAACAGAAAUAACUCAAGGAUGAAGUUCAGCAUGGAUGACAAGCAGCUAAGAAAUCUGCAGAAUUAAAGUAGCUCUGACAUGAUGAACCUUCCAGACAAGAUUUGGUAGGGGAAGCAUGUAAAUGCCAAAGAAGCAUCAUAAAGAGGAAAAAAGGAGAGGAAUCAGGAGACUCAAGGUCAUUAUCAAGGGGCUGCCCCAGGUACAUAAUGAAAGGAAGACUACUUGCCACUGGCUUAUAUUAAAUACAUAUUGUGUGGAUGACAAGAAGCAAAGCGUGAUUGUACUAGACGUGUUUCUAAGUUCGCGCCUGGUCCCCAGCCUUCUCUGCUCCUGCUGCCUGUGGGGGAUCCUUCCCCACCCAGCCACCCGCCAACAGCAAUCACCAGCUGAACCAGAGAGGGUGAAUUUGAAGGAGGGAAUCCGUGUCUCAUUAACGUUUGCACCACCACGUCACCCCAUAUUUCUGCACUAAAGGCUUGACCCACAGAAAUAAAUCAAGAUGACGUAACACAAGUAAACACCGCAUAAUUUAGUUGGUGAAGGU
This is a long non-coding RNA of Zalophus californianus (California sea lion), 1219 nucleotides long. RefSeq lists it as uncharacterized. NCBI's taxonomy places the organism in Eukaryota, Metazoa, Chordata, Mammalia, Carnivora, Otariidae. The record is from RefSeq and is a predicted model, not a curated record. The transcript has 9 exons.